Molecule: RNA transcript, 1173 nt
Organism: Homo sapiens (human)
Lineage: Eukaryota; Metazoa; Chordata; Mammalia; Primates; Hominidae
Gene: AGAP14P
Gene name: ArfGAP with GTPase domain, ankyrin repeat and PH domain 14, pseudogene
Exons: 8
Source: RefSeq, marked validated
UCAGCCUCGAGUUUGACCAGCAGCAGGGGUCGGUGUGUCCCUCUGAAUCUGAGAUCUAUGAGGCAGGAGCUGAGGACAGGAUGGCAGGAGCGCCCAUGGCUGCUGCUGUACAGCCUGCUGAGGUGACUGUUGAAGUUGGUGAGGACCUCCACAUGCACCACGUUCGUGACCGGGAGAUGCCUGAAGCUUUGGAGUUUAACCUUUCUGCCAAUCCAGAGGCAAGCACAAUAUUACAGAGGAACUCUCAAACAGAUGCUUUGGAGUUUAACCCUUCUGCCAAUCCAGAGGCAAGCACAAUAUUCCAGAGGAACUCUCAAACAGAUGUUGUAGAAAUAAGAAGAAGCAACUGUACAAACCAUGUAUCUACUGAGCGUUUCAGUCAACAAUACAGCUCGUGUUCGACAAUAUUCCUUGAUGACAGCACAGCCAGCCAGCAUUAUCUUACAAUGACAAUAAUAUCUGUGACCUUGGAGAUACCUCAUCAUAUCACACAAAGAGAUGCAGAUAGAUCUUUGAGCAUACCUGAUGAACAGUUAACUCAUUUGCGGUUUCCACCGUGCACAUUACGAAGAACAGAAAUGGAGGUGGGAGUUUAAAUAACUAUUCCUCCUCCAUUCCAUCGACUCCCAGCACCAGCCAGGAGGACCCUCAGUUCAGUGUUCCUCCCACUGCCAACACACCCACCCCCGUUUGCAAGCGGUCCAUGUGCUGGUCCAACCUGUUUACAUCUGAGAAAGGGAGUCACCCAGACAAAGAGAGGAAAGCCCCGGAGAAUCAUGCUGACACCAUCGGGAGCAGCAGAGCCAUCCCCAUUAAACAGGGCAUGCUCUUAAAGCGAAGUGGGAAAUGGCUGAAGACAUGGAAAAAGAAAUACGUCACCCUGUGUUCCAAUGGCGUGCUCACCUAUUAUUCAAGCUUAGGUGAUUAUAUGAAGAAUAUUCAUAAAAAAGAGAUUGACCUUCGGACAUCUACCAUCAAAGUCCCAGGAAAGUGGCCAUCCCUAGCCACAUCGGCCUCUGCACCCAUCUCCAGCUCUAAAAGCAAUGGCCUAUCCAAGGACAUGGACACCGGGCUGGGUGACUCCAUAUGCUUCAGCCCCAGUAUCUCCAGCACCACCAGCCCCAAGCUCAACCUGCCCCCUUCUCCUCAUGCCAAUAAAAAGAAACACCUAAA